Molecule: ribosomal RNA, 497 nt
Filed under: uncultured bacterium
Lineage: Bacteria
Description: partial 16S ribosomal RNA
Rfam family: Bacterial small subunit ribosomal RNA
Source: RNAcentral
GAUGAACGCUGGCGGCGUGCCUAAUACAUGCAAGUCGAGCGAACAGACGAGGAGCUUGCUCCUCUGACGUUAGCGGCGGACGGGUGAGUAACACGUGGAUAACCUACCUAUAAGACUGGGAUAACUUCGGGAAACCGGAGCUAAUACCGGAUAAUAUAUUGAACCGCAUGGUUCAAUAGUGACAGACGGUUUUGCUGUCACUUAUAGAUGGAUCCGCGCCGCAUUAGCUAGUUGGUAAGGUAACGGCUUACCAAGGCAACGAUGCGUAGCCGACCUGAGAGGGUGAUCGGCCACACUGGAACUGAGACACGGUCCAGACUCCUACGGGAGGCAGCAGUAGGGAAUCUUCCGCAAUGGGCGAAAGCUUGACGGAGCAACGCCGCGUGAGUGAUGAAGGUCUUCGGAUCGUAAAACUCUGUUAUUAGGGAAGAACAAAUGUGUAAGUAACUAUGCACGUCUUGACGGUACCUAAUCAGAAAGCCACGGCUAACUACGUG